UGAAAACGUUUUAAAAUAGUUAUGUUCUUGAAUUUCGUUAAAUUGAAAAAGAAUUGCCAAUUUUUUAUUGGAAGGAGAUUAUUCUUCUUCAGUUCAGCGAAAAAUAUAAUAUAGGAGGAAGAACAAGA
This 128-nucleotide small RNA is filed under the name Streptococcus urinalis 2285-97. RNAcentral's name for it is "Streptococcus sRNA SSRC34". It matches the Rfam family "Streptococcus sRNA SSRC34". From Rfam's summary of the family: It is based on computationally predicted coordinates (RNAz). Lineage: Bacteria; Bacillati; Bacillota; Bacilli; Lactobacillales; Streptococcaceae. The record is from Rfam by way of RNAcentral.